This 118-nucleotide ribosomal RNA is filed under the name Lepisosteus oculatus (spotted gar). Lineage: Eukaryota; Metazoa; Chordata; Actinopteri; Semionotiformes; Lepisosteidae. The record is from RNAcentral.
CCCAGCAGCCUUGUCACCCUGCAGCUCAAAUCUGGCAACCCCCUGAAGCUCAGCAGGUGUGAGCCUGGCCAGUAUCUGGAUGGGAGACCUCCUGGGAAAGCUAAGGUUGCUGCUGGAA